CCUACGGGUGGCAGCAGUGAGGAAUAUUGGUCAAUGGACGAGAGUCUGAACCAGCCAAGCAGCGUGAAGGAUGACUGUCCUAUGGUUUGUAAACUUCUUUUAUAUGGGAGUAAAAUGUUCCACGUGUGGGAUUUUGUAUGUACCAUAUGAAUAAGGAUCGGCUAACUCCGUGCCAGCAGCCGCGGUAAUACGGAGGAUCCGAGCGUUAUCCGGAUUUAUUGGGGUUAAAGGGAGCGUAGGUGGAUUGUUAAGUUAGUUGUGAAAGUUUGCGGCUCAACCGUAAAAUUGCAGUUGAAACUGGCAGUCUUGAGUACAGUAGAGGUGGGCGGAAUUCGUGGUGUAGCGGUGAAAUGCUUAGAUAUCACGAAGAACUCCGAUUGCGAAGGCAGCUCACUGGACUGCAACUGACACUGAGGCUCGAAAGUGUGGGUAGCAAACAGGAUUAGAUACCCUUGUAGUC
RNAcentral lists this ribosomal RNA (460 nucleotides) under uncultured bacterium. RNAcentral's name for it is "partial 16S ribosomal RNA". It matches the Rfam family "Bacterial small subunit ribosomal RNA", at positions 338 to 795 of the family's 1533-position model. The record is from RNAcentral.